Molecule: ribosomal RNA, 1074 nt
Filed under: Hyloscirtus hillisi
Lineage: Eukaryota; Metazoa; Chordata; Amphibia; Anura; Hylidae
Description: Hyloscirtus sp. n. SR-2018 partial large subunit ribosomal RNA
Rfam family: Bacterial large subunit ribosomal RNA
Source: RNAcentral
UUAAGUGGGCCUAAAAGCAGCCAUCUUUUUAAAAGCGUCAAAGCUUUCAUGCCACGUUACAUAAUACCCCAACUAACUUAGAGCCCUUUACUACCACUGGAUAAUUCUAUACUACUAUAGAAUUUAUUAUGUUAAAACUAGUAACAAGAAGUCCGCCCUUCUCUUAAAUGCAAGCAUACGUCAGAAAGGCCUAACCACUGAUUAUUAACAUACUUGUAGACUAAGUAGUAACGCUACAAGAGAACCCUACUUACUCCUAUGUUACCCUAACACAAGCGCAUUUCAAGAAAGAUUAAAAGAAAAAGAAGGAACUCGGCAAAUAUCAGCCUCGCCUGUUUACCAAAAACAUCGCCUCUUGAAAACGUAUAAGAGGUCCAGCCUGCCCAGUGACUCAAUUCAACGGCCGCGGUAUCCUAACCGUGCGAAGGUAGCGUAAUCACUUGUUCUUUAAAUAGGGACUAGUAUGAACGGCAUCACGAAGGCUGCACUGUCUCCUUUUUCUAAUCAGUGAAACUAAUCUUCCCGUGAAGAAGCGGGAAUAAACAUAUAAGACGAGAAGACCCUAUGGAGCUUUAAACAAACUAACACUUGCUACUAAUAAUAAAUAUUUCAGAAAAUUAACAUUAAGUAAACCACUAUGAUUACGAGUUUUCGGUUGGGGUGACCACGGAGUAUAAACCAACCUCCGAGUGGAAUGGGGUUUAACCCUGAGCUAAAAGCCUCGACUUUAAGCACCAACAAAUUGACCUCCAUUGACCCAAUAUUUUGACCAACGAACCAAGUUACCCUAGGGAUAACAGCGCAAUCUACUUCAAGAGCCCCUAUCGACAAGUGGGUUUACGACCUCGAUGUUGGAUCAGGGUAUCCCAGUGGUGCAGCCGCUACUAAUGGUUCGUUUGUUCAACGAUUAAAACCCUACGUGAUCUGAGUUCAGACCGGAGCAAUCCAGGUCAGUUUCUAUCUAUAAAGGGCUUUUUCUAGUACGAAAGGACCAAAAAAGCAUGGCCAAUGCUAAAGUAAGCCAUCAAAUGCUACUUAUGAUUCCCACUCAAUAAGUAAAUAACCUAGUAUGCA